This 335-nucleotide unclassified non-coding RNA is filed under the name soil metagenome. Its description in RNAcentral is "partial contains 5.8S ribosomal RNA, internal transcribed spacer 2, and large subunit ribosomal RNA". The stretch from base 1 to 120 matches the Rfam family "5.8S ribosomal RNA", at positions 35 to 154 of the family's 154-position model. The record is from RNAcentral.
GAUGAAGAACGUAGCGAAAUGCGAUAAGUAAUGUGAAUUGCAGAAUUCAGUGAAUCGUCGAAUCUUUGAACGCACAUUGCGCCCGCCAGUAUUCUGGCGGGCAUGCCUGUUCGAGCGUCAUUUCAACCAUCAAGCCCCCGGCUUGUGUUGGGGACCUGCGGCUGCCGCAGGCCCUGAAAACCAGUGGCGGGCUCGCUAGUCACUCCGAGCGUAGUAAUACAUCUCGCUCAGGGCGUGCUGCGGGUUCCGGCCGUUAAAAAGCCUUAUUUACCCAAGGUUGACCUCGGAUCAGGUAGGAAGACCCGCUGAACUUAAGCAUAUCAAUAAGCGGAGGA